GAUGAACGCUGGCGGCGUGCCUAAUACAUGCAAGUCGAGCGAACGGACGAGAAGCUUGCUUCUCUGAUGUUAGCGGCGGACGGGUGAGUAACACGUGGAUAACCUACCUAUAAGACUGGGAUAACUUCGGGAAACCGGAGCUAAUACCGGAUGAUAUUUUGAACCGCAUGGUUCAAAAGUGAAAGACGGUCUUGCUGUCACUUAUAGAUGGAUCCGCGCUGCAUUAGCUAGUUGGUAAGGUAACGGCUUACCAAGGCAACGAUGCAUAGCCGACCUGAGAGGGUGAUCGGCCACACUGGAACUGAGACACGGUCCAGACUCCGACGGGAGGCAGCAGUAGGGAAUCUUCCGCAAUGGACGAAAGCCUGACGGAGCAACGCCGCGUGAGUGAUGAAGGUCUUCGGAUCGUAACACUCUGUUAUUAGGGAAGAACAUAUGUGUAAGUAACUGUGCACAUCUUGACGGUACCUAAUCAGAAAGCCACGGCUAACUACGUG
This 497-nucleotide ribosomal RNA is filed under the name uncultured bacterium. Its description in RNAcentral is "partial 16S ribosomal RNA". It matches the Rfam family "Bacterial small subunit ribosomal RNA", at positions 28 to 507 of the family's 1533-position model. The record is from RNAcentral.